GAAUUGCUUGUACUUUAGUUGAUUACUUUACUGACUGAUUGAUACAUUGCUUGAUCUGUUUAAUGUCUAAUAAGCUGUUGUUUAUUUUAUAGGGUGUUCAUUUCCUUAGGACUCAAUUGAGGACUAUUGCUAACAAGCUUUGUUGACAUCCACAAUUAAAAGGUAGUACUUAUUGCCUCUUCUUCUUUUUUCAUAGAAAUGACUUAUAAUAUAAGCAAUUAUAUGAUAAACGCGGAGUUUGUAGGCUACCAUGUAAUUUUCGUCCAAUUCAAUACACUUUGACUUUGACCUUACUUGUUUGUAUUCAUAUUUGCUUAAUAUUGUGUUUAUGUUUUUCUUUAUUCCAGAUGGCUAGUAACGAGGAUCACCCACAUGGUGAUGAGACCGUUGGUGCUGCGGAAAGGGAAAUUAAACGUGGAAUAACGGUUAUGAAGAAAGUUAUUCGAGAUAGAGAUCGAGGCGUUUUAAUAAAAGUGCAUUGGAACGAAGGUGGACAACUAAUUGAGCCUAACGGUUCAACAUUGACAAGUUUUAUUGGUGCAUUGGUAAGGAAUGAAGUUC
Molecule: long non-coding RNA, 561 nt
Filed under: Lathyrus oleraceus (garden pea)
Lineage: Eukaryota; Viridiplantae; Streptophyta; Magnoliopsida; Fabales; Fabaceae
Description: Pisum sativum (pea) long non-coding RNA (PSAT_LNC034593)
Source: RNAcentral